CAGCGCCUCGAGUCGAGAUACAUAGUUACUUCUGUGCGCGAACAGUCGACACGGGGACGAGCCUGAUUGCCCAUCGGGAGUUUACUGUCGUCUGUCAAUUUUCUGAUAGUAGUGUAUUCGAUUGACGAAAUCGCGUGCAAGUGCAUUGAAAAGUUAUGUAUCUCAUAUAUCACACUUCAGAGUGCAGUUCUACAGCAGGGGGAAAAAAUCCGGAAUAUAUGGACCUCGAGUAGUCGGGCAAGCAAGAAAAUUGAAUUCUCCUCAAGCGCAGGCAGGGGUGAAAAUUCACGCAAAUGCAAAGACGCUGCAAAGAAAUUCCUGGACGACAAAGAAGAGUGCGAAACCGUUGCUACGACUCGGCGGGAAAUUUUUAUUUUUCAUGCCAGGACACCUAUACGUAUCGUUGCGAAUGAAGGAAGUAGCUGUUAGAGGCGGUUCUUGCAACGUUAAAAGAAAUUUGAUAUUCGGAAACGUGGAGCAUGCAAAAAUAAAGCGAAACACAAAGCACCUCUAUACACGUGCCGUGAGAAAGUUUUGGAAGGGAGCGAUGUUAAUAAAACUGAUAAGCUGACACCUUUAUUAUCGCCUAGCACUUUCUGAGACAACGAAUUAAGAAAUAAUCCAAUUGCCAAUAAAGCGUGUAAAUAAAAGUAA
Long non-coding RNA from Nasonia vitripennis (jewel wasp), 654 nucleotides. RefSeq lists it as uncharacterized. The record is from RefSeq and is a predicted model, not a curated record. The transcript has 3 exons. NCBI's taxonomy places the organism in Eukaryota, Metazoa, Arthropoda, Insecta, Hymenoptera, Pteromalidae.